RNAcentral lists this ribosomal RNA (451 nucleotides) under uncultured bacterium. RNAcentral's name for it is "partial 16S ribosomal RNA". It matches the Rfam family "Bacterial small subunit ribosomal RNA", at positions 354 to 796 of the family's 1533-position model. The record is from RNAcentral.
GUGGGGAAUAUUGGACAAUGGGGGGAACCCUGAUCCAGCCAUGCCGCGUGUGUGAAGAAGGCCUUUUGGUUGUAAAGCACUUUAAGCGAGGAGGAGGCUACCGAGAUUAAUACUCUUGGAUAGUGGACGUUACUCGCAGAAUAAGCACCGGCUAACUACGUGCCAGCAGCCGCGGUAAUACGUAGGGUGCAAGCGUUAAUCGGAAUUACUGGGCGUAAAGCGUGCGCAGGUGGCUAAUUAAGUCAAAUGUGAAAUCCCCGAGCUUAACUUGGGAAUUGCAUUCGAUACUGGUUAGCUAGAGUAUGGGAGAGGAUGGUAGAAUUCCAGGUGUAGCGGUGAAAUGCGUAGAGAUCUGGAGGAAUACCGAUGGCGAAGGCAGCCAUCUGGCCUAAUACUGACACUGAGGUGCGAAAGCAUGGGGAGCAAACAGGAUUAGAAACCCGUGUAGUCC